AUGUCCACACCGGUGGAUCGAGCUCGCCCGUGGGAGGACGGACGCAAAUCAACUGGCAUCAGGUCAUCCUCUUCUCUUCCCAGCGGCAGCGAGACGGCGGCCGAGAGACUCACCGAGGACCUCCUAGUCGAGAUACUCUCGCGCGUGCCCGCCAGGCCGCUCUGCCGCUUCAAGUGCGUCUCCAAGCACUGGCUCGGCCUCAUCAACGACCGCACCUACCGCCGGAAGCUCCCCCAGACCCUGACCGGCUUCUUCUUCAGCGGCACCACGGAGGAGCAAUUGGUACAUCCAGUUCUUCCUUUCACCAAUUUAUCCGGGAGCCGCAGUCGCACCAGUCUUACCUUCCUGCCCAACGGCCGGGACGCCUUUCUUUUGGACUGCUGCAAUGGCUUCCUUCUCUACGACGUAUCUGCCCAUCUUGGCAAGCGCCGUUACGUCGUGUGCAAUCCUGCCACGGAGGAAUGGACUGAGUUGCCGCAUUGCGACCAUCCGGCUGGGUGGGUAUUGUGCGCUUAG
Molecule: ribosomal RNA, 516 nt
Filed under: Triticum aestivum (bread wheat)
Lineage: Eukaryota; Viridiplantae; Streptophyta; Magnoliopsida; Poales; Poaceae
Description: partial small subunit ribosomal RNA
Source: RNAcentral